GGCUGCAAGUUUGAGGCCAUAGCAAAAGCGUUCGUGGUGCAGCCCUGUCAUUCCAAUGAAUCAGCAAAUUCUGCU
This 75-nucleotide long non-coding RNA is filed under the name Crocodylus porosus (Australian saltwater crocodile). RNAcentral describes it as "Mammalian CPEB3 ribozyme (ENSCPRG00005014560.1)". It matches the Rfam family "Mammalian CPEB3 ribozyme". Rfam says of the family: The mammalian CPEB3 ribozyme is a self cleaving RNA located in the second intron of the CPEB3 gene which belongs to a family of genes regulating messenger RNA polyadenylation. This ribozyme is highly conserved and found only in mammals. There is currently only one other known self cleaving ribozyme in mammals, the CoTC motif. The record is from Rfam by way of RNAcentral. Lineage: Eukaryota; Metazoa; Chordata; Crocodylia; Crocodylidae.